RNAcentral lists this ribosomal RNA (589 nucleotides) under uncultured bacterium. RNAcentral describes it as "partial 16S ribosomal RNA". It matches the Rfam family "Bacterial small subunit ribosomal RNA", at positions 355 to 937 of the family's 1533-position model. The record is from RNAcentral.
UGGGGAAUAUUGGACAAUGGGCGCAAGCCUGAUCCAGCAAUGCCGCGUGUGUGAAGAAGGCCUUCGGGUUGUAAAGCACUUUUAUCAGGAGCGAAACGCUGUCGGCUAAUACCCGGCGGAACUGACGGUACCUGAGGAAUAAGCACCGGCUAACUUCGUGCCAGCAGCCGCGGUAAUACGAAGGGUGCAAGCGUUAAUCGGAAUUACUGGGCGUAAAGCGUGCGUAGGCGGUUUCUUAAGUCUGCUGUGAAAUCCCCGGGCUCAACCUGGGAAUGGCAGUGGAUACUGGGAGGCUAGAGUGUGUCAGAGGGUGGUGGAAUUCCCGGUGUAGCGGUGAAAUGCGUAGAGAUCGGGAGGAACAUCAGUGGCGAAGGCGGCCACCUGGGACAACACUGACGCUGAGGCACGAAAGCGUGGGGAGCAAACAGGAUUAGGAUACCCUGGUAGUCCACGCCCUAAAAGCGAUGCGAACUGGAUGUUGGUCUCAACUCGGAGAUCAGUGUCGAAGCUAACGCGUUAAGUUCGCCGCCUGGGGAGUACGGUCGCAAGACUGAAACUUAAAGGAAUUGACGGGGUCAUAGCUGUUUCC